This 253-nucleotide ribosomal RNA is filed under the name uncultured bacterium. Its description in RNAcentral is "partial 16S ribosomal RNA". It matches the Rfam family "Bacterial small subunit ribosomal RNA", at positions 524 to 776 of the family's 1533-position model. The record is from RNAcentral.
UACGUAGGGGGCAAGCGUUGUCCGGAAUUAUUGGGCGUAAAGAGCGCGUAGGCGGUCCGAUAAGUCGGCUGUGAAAGUCAGGGGCUCAACCCUUGAAAGCCGGCCGAUACUGUCGGACUAGAGUCCGGAAGAGGCAAGUGGAAUUCCCGGUGUAGCGGUGGAAUGCGUAGAGAUCGGGAAGAACAUCAGUGGCGAAGGCGGCCUGCUGGGCUGUUGCUGACGCUGAGGCGCGACAGCGUGGGGAGCAAACAGG